CAGGAUGAACGCUAGCUACAGGCUUAACACAUGCAAGUCGAGGGGCAGCAUGGUCUUAGCUUGCUAAGGCCGAUGGCGACCGGCGCACGGGUGAGUAACACGUAUCCAACCUGCCGUCUACUCUUGGACAGCCUUCUGAAAGGAAGAUUAAUACAAGAUGGCAUCAUGAGUCCGCAUGUUCACAUGAUUAAAGGUAUUCCGGUAGACGAUGGGGAUGCGUUCCAUUAGAUAGUAGGCGGGGUAACGGCCCACCUAGUCUUCGAUGGAUAGGGGUUCUGAGAGGAAGGUCCCCCACAUUGGAACUGAGACACGGUCCAAACUCCUACGGGAGGCAGCAGUGAGGAAUAUUGGUCAAUGGGCGAGAGCCUGAACCAGCCAAGUAGCGUGAAGGAUGACUGCCCUAUGGGUUGUAAACUUCUUUUAUAAAGGAAUAAAGUCGGGUAUGGAUACCCGUUUGCAUGUACUUUAUGAAUAAGGAUCGGCUAACUCCGUGCCAGCAGCCGCGGUAAUACGGAGGAUCCGAGCGUUAUCCGGAUUUAUUGGGUUUAAAGGGAGUGUAGAUGGAUAUUUAAGUCAGUUGUGAAAGUUUGCGGCUCAACCGUAAAAUUGCAGUUGAUACUGGAUAUCUUGAGUGCAGUUGAGGCAGGCGGAAUUCGUGGUGUAGCGGUGAAAUGCUUAGAUAUCACGAAGAACUCCGAUUGCGAAGGCAGCCUGCUAAGCUGCAACUGACAU
This 732-nucleotide ribosomal RNA is filed under the name uncultured Bacteroidales bacterium. RNAcentral describes it as "bacterial SSU rRNA". It matches the Rfam family "Bacterial small subunit ribosomal RNA", at positions 25 to 746 of the family's 1533-position model. The record is from RNAcentral. Lineage: Bacteria; Pseudomonadati; Bacteroidota; Bacteroidia; Bacteroidales.